CUAUAGCAGAAGACACUUGCCCAAGAUGCCAUGCAGUGGGACUGAACCCGGAACCAUAUGGUUGGUUAGCAAGCUACUUACCACACAGCCACUCAUUUGUGUUGAAUGGGGAUUGCUUUCUUUUAAUUAAGGUUUGUUUUGUUUUGUGUUGUUUUAACACUGAAACUAUCCCCGAGUCUAUUGUGUUUGUUGUAAAGAAUUGUUCUCUUAACAGUAGAGAGGGUUUUAAUCAGGGUUAUCUUUAUUCAACUCAUCAGAACUGGGUUUUUUUGUUAGAUGAAACACAAGCACGGUUGUGUUGUUAAGAAGAUAGCUUCCUAAUCAUAUGCUCUCAGAUCAAUCACACUGUGCAGCAUAUCGGGCAAAUGUCUUCGGCUGCAGUCCCUGGCUAACCAAAUUCUUGUGAGUGGAUGUGGUACAUGGAAAUUGUAAGAAGCCCAUUGUGUGUGUGUGUGUGUACUGUUGUCUUGAUGUCACAUGAGGGUUGUAAAUGAAUCAUUCUGUCAUACAAGGGAAGUUGUUCAUUUCCAGUUUUCUGUGAAAAAAAGUUUGCCCCAUGGUGGGGAGAGGGAUACAUUACCUUGUCUGAAAACAGAUGAGGGCUGUCACAACAAAUUUCAUCUGACCCUUGCAAGAAGCAUAGAAAAAAGGUUGUUAAAUGAUGACAAUGAGCUGAAAUUGUCAAAGAGGAAAACAUCUAAGGAAGAAAUAAGUAUUAAAGGUUUGUUUUUUUAAUUUUUAGUGUAAAGCCAGAGAGCAGUAAUGUUCAUGCCUUCUCAAAAACAUUAACAUUUAUGAGAGAGUACUGAAAGGUUCCUGGCUUUGAGUAAAAGAAAAUAUAGGUGGAUCAGUUAAUUAUGAUUUUAUUCAACAUAUUCUCCUCCCAGAUUCACACAUUUAUUGUAGUGGCCCUUCAGUUUUUCUAAGUCCUGUAAAAAGCAUCAGCUUUAACCUUUGUGGUUGCAGAAGUUGGCCGUCCUGACCAGGUUCAUCUGUGUGGAGUAAGAUGGCCAGCCAUCUCACCAUGAAUUUCCACCACUCCUAUGCCUUGCAAAAAGAACUUCAUGACUGCUUCUGUUUCAGUUUUACCAAAAUCUCCUGAAGGAGCUGCCAUCUUGUGUUAAAUCUGCAAAAUACAGAAAGAUAUAUUGUAUACCAUCAUUAUAUUUUGCUUAUUUUCUCCUAAAUAGUUGUCCUACCUCCCCUGUAAAGAUAACAGCUCUAUCUUUUUUUAUACCCUUGUGGAUAUACUCAC
Molecule: long non-coding RNA, 1255 nt
Filed under: Octopus sinensis (East Asian common octopus)
Lineage: Eukaryota; Metazoa; Mollusca; Cephalopoda; Octopoda; Octopodidae
Description: uncharacterized LOC118766242, transcript variant X1
Source: RNAcentral